CCUACGGGUGGCAGCAGUAGGGAAUAUUGCACAAUGGGCGAAAGCCUGAUGCAGCAACGCCGCGUGCGCGAUGAAGGCCUUCGGGUCGUAAAGCGCUUUUCGGGGAGAUGAGGAAGGACAGUAUCCCCGGAAUAAGGCUCGGCUAACUACGUGCCAGCAGCCGCGGUAAAACGUAGGAGCCUAGCGUUAUCCGAAUUUACUGGGCGUAAAGCGCGUGCAGGCGGUUCGGUAAGUUGGGUGUGAAAUCUCCUGGCUCAACUGGGAGAGGUCGCUCAAUACU
RNAcentral lists this ribosomal RNA (280 nucleotides) under uncultured bacterium. RNAcentral's name for it is "partial 16S ribosomal RNA". It matches the Rfam family "Bacterial small subunit ribosomal RNA", at positions 338 to 634 of the family's 1533-position model. The record is from RNAcentral.